This 764-nucleotide ribosomal RNA is filed under the name uncultured bacterium. RNAcentral describes it as "bacterial SSU rRNA". It matches the Rfam family "Bacterial small subunit ribosomal RNA", at positions 52 to 806 of the family's 1533-position model. The record is from RNAcentral.
CACAUGCAAGUCGAGGGGCAGCAUCAUCAAAGCUUGCUUUGAUGGAUGGCGACCGGCGCACGGGUGAGUAACACGUAUCCAACCUGCCGACAACACUGGGAUAGCCUUUCGAAAGAAAGAUUAAUACCGGAUGGCAUAAUUAUUCCGCAUGGGAUAAUUAUUAAAGAAUUUCGGUUGUCGAUGGGGAUGCGUUCCAUUAGGCAGUUGGCGGGGUAACGGCCCACCAAACCUACGAUGGAUAGGGGUUCUGAGAGGAAGGUCCCCCACAUUGGAACUGAGACACGGUCCAAACUCCUACGGGAGGCAGCAGUGAGGAAUAUUGGUCAAUGGACGAGAGUCUGAACCAGCCAAGUAGCGUGAAGGAUGACUGCCCUAUGGGUUGUAAACUUCUUUUAUACGGGAAUAAAGUUAGCCACGUGUGGCUUUUUGUAUGUACCGUAUGAAUAAGGAUCGGCUAACUCCGUGCCAGCAGCCGCGGUAAUACGGAGGAUCCGAGCGUUAUCCGGAUUUAUUGGGUUUAAAGGGAGCGUAGGCGGGUUGUUAAGUCAGUUGUGAAAGUUUGCGGCUCAACCGUAAAAUUGCAGUUGAUACUGGCGACCUUGAGUGCAACAGAGGUAGGCGGAAUUCGUGGUGUAGCGGUGAAAUGCUUAGAUAUCACGAAGAACUCCGAUUGCGAAGGCAGCUUACUGGAUUGUAACUGACGCUGAUGCUCGAAAGUGUGGGUAUCAAACAGGAUUAGAUACCCUGGUAGUCCACACAGUAAA